This 121-nucleotide ribosomal RNA is filed under the name Onthophagus carbonarius. RNAcentral's name for it is "partial 16S ribosomal RNA". The record is from RNAcentral. Lineage: Eukaryota; Metazoa; Arthropoda; Insecta; Coleoptera; Scarabaeidae.
UUUGAUUAUAAUUUAAAGUCUGACCUGCCCUAUGAUAGAAAUAUUAAAUGGCCGCGAUAAUUUGAUCGUGCAAAGGUAGCAUAAUAAUUAGCUUUUUAAUUGGGAGCUGGAAUGAAAGGUC